UUUUUGGGCCUAUAAAAGUGUUUCAGGCACAUUCUGAACUACUCUCACUCUGAAAUGGCUGCUGUGGUGUGUGGCAAUGGUUUUUUGUUGGCUGUGGGAUACGUUAGACUGCUCCAUGAGGCUUCCAGGAAUCAGGACCAGGUAAGUGAACAUGGCCAACAGGUUGUCCAGGUACCGCGGAGGCUGCGCCAGCCUCGUUUAUUUAGAGGGCGUUUAAACUUAAAUGCAUUGUCCGAUGAUAGGGUCAUACAGAUGUUCCGCCUAAAUAGAAACAACAUUUUCCACCUGUAUGACCUUGUCAAACUGGGCAUAGACCCUGAGACAGCACGCUCUCGCUCUGUCUCAGGCCUACACAAACUCCUGGCUGUGUUACACUUUAUGGCUACUGGGAGCUUCCAGGCUGUGGCAGGCGACGUCAUUGGGAUCUCACAGCCCACCUUUUCAAGAUAUUUGAUGCAGGUGAGUCUAAAAAUACCUAUGCGGUUAUGGCUAAGUGUUGCUUGUGUAAGUUGAAACACCACAGUAUUGUAGAGAAUACCUAACAUGACACUCACCUUAGCUUAUUUAAUGUCCACUCAGGUUUUGGAUGUGUUGGAGCCACACAUUAAAGCCUCAAUCUGCUUCCCUACUGAGGAGUCGGAGUGGAGUGCUGUCAGGGUAGCUUUCUAUGAGCUUGCAGGCAUGCCCAAUGUGCUUGGGGCCAUAGAUUGCACACACGUUCAGCUGAGAUCACCUAAGGGCCGCCAGUAUAUCUAUACUAAUAGGCAUCUUGAUCAAUCAACUAAUGUCCAGGUGGUCUGUGAUGCAAAAUUAAAAAUUAUGAGUGUUGUUGCAGGUUACCCUGGUGCCUGCCAUGACUCCUUCAUCCUCAGUCAGUCAUCGCUCUUCGAUAAAUUUGAGGAGGGACAAAUGCCUGAUGGCUGGCUGUUGGGUGAUGGGGGUUACGGCUGCUACUCUUGGCUCCUUACUCCAUUGUCCCAACCUGAUUCUCCUGCUGAACACAGUUAUAAUCAUGCACAUAUGGCUACGCGGAAUGUGAUAGAAAGAUGUUUUGGGGUGCUGAAGUCACGUUUUCGGUGUCUUGAUAAAUCUGCUGGCCUUUUGUUGUAUAGUCCCUCAAAGGUGACUAGGAUUGUGUUCUGCUGCUGUUUUCUCCAUAAUCUGUGUUUAAGUCAAGAUCUUGCACAUGGUGAGGGAGAAAUCAGUCAGCAAGCAGAGGAGUUAGAACCAUCUGGUGACAGUGUGAGUACAAAUGUAGGGAGGCAGGUACGGCAACAAGUGAUCCUGCGUUAUUUUUCUGGUAAGUUUUAUUAGGCUGUAAUUAUCCUUCACUAAACACUUUGCUCUACUUUCUAGUGUGUGUUUUGUUACUUACUGUUUGUUGUUUAUAGUGGUGUGUCCAUUGUGCUUAGUUGAUGCUAAAAAAACAUUUACAGUCAUUACCCUUGAAAAACAUAACUCCAUACAUACACACCAGCUUCAUACAUUUUGGAGACGGACACAGGAAUGUGUUUUGUAUUCUAAUUAUUUUAUUUUUGGGUUCAAAAAGUUUACAUUUAUUUUUUUCUCGUGUGUGUGCUUAAUGUAUCCUCAAUUCAUAUAUUUUCAGACAACUAGGUUGUCUAGACCAUCCACUAAGACCUUAUUUUUUUUAAGUAAAGCACCUUGAGCAAUUGAAGACGUAACAUAACAUUGAUUGUUGGGGAAAACAUGUAAACUCCAAACAAACUAACAUCAUCCUUAGUCGACUGUGUAUAUUCUUGCUUAUGUGUUUUGUUUCAAAAUUUAAUCACCAGAUAACUGAGGUGAUCUGGGCUCAUCACUCAGCGAACUCGCCAGUAGUGCCAGUGGUGGCUGGGGUGACACUGCCGAUAGCCUUCGCCUGGGUGGGAAUGAUGGAGGUGCUGAAUCAGAGCCAAGACGCCGGCUCUUAGUUGGCCUCCUGGAAUAUGUGACUACAGUGAAGACUUACCUGCAAUACCGGCAUCAUCAUGACUGGUCUGAGGCCUGUCUGGCCGGCUGGUCUGUGUGACUGUGUAAAAAGUCACACCAACAUUAUUACCCUGUUUUUUUUUAAAGUACCCAGUGAAAACCAUUAAUGUACUGUAAGCAUAUAUUUUGUUUGGUUGCCACAACAAAAUUAAGCUUAAGAGCUUCUAUAUUUGUGAUUUAGAGUUGAAUAUCAAAAUGUACUUCA
Molecule: long non-coding RNA, 2197 nt
Organism: Pseudophryne corroboree (corroboree frog)
Lineage: Eukaryota; Metazoa; Chordata; Amphibia; Anura; Myobatrachidae
Exons: 3
Source: RefSeq, a predicted model, not a curated record